UAGCUCAGUUGGUAAAGGAUCUGCCUACAAUGCAGGAGACCCAGGUUCGAUCCCUGG
This 57-nucleotide transfer RNA is filed under the name Ovis aries (sheep). It matches the Rfam family "tRNA", at positions 8 to 63 of the family's 71-position model. Rfam says of the family: Transfer RNA (tRNA) molecules are approximately 80 nucleotides in length. Their secondary structure includes four short double-helical elements and three loops (D, anti-codon, and T loops). The record is from Rfam by way of RNAcentral. Lineage: Eukaryota; Metazoa; Chordata; Mammalia; Artiodactyla; Bovidae.